ACCAGGGAAUGUUGAAAUCAUAACUGGCACUGCUAGUGGACCGAUUGCAUUCUUUGACAAGAAAGAUAAUGUGGUGAUCAUAGCUCCAUUUAGCGAAUUCAUGUCCGCAUCGACGAUGAUGGACAAUUCAACGAAUCCCGAAACGCUUGAUUGGGGAAUUAUGGGCGGCGUGAUGGAAGUUCCAGAAGAUUUCAUGGCUCAGUUUAUGAUAUUCUAUAGUCCUAACGGCAUCAAUAAGGCUUUUCAAGAAUGGGGAAGUUUAAUGAGAGAUUUUUAUGGUAAAGAUUCAUCCUAUAGAAAAUCUGAUAUGACGAUUAACUAUCUUGGAUUUUGGACUGAUAAUGGUGCUUACUAUUACCAUAAAACCGAAGACGGAGAUGACUAUGAACAGACUAUUUAUGAUAUACAAAAAACGGCAAAAGAGCAGGG
Molecule: long non-coding RNA, 429 nt
Organism: Patella vulgata (common limpet)
Lineage: Eukaryota; Metazoa; Mollusca; Gastropoda; Patellidae
Exons: 3
Source: RefSeq, a predicted model, not a curated record